UCCGCGUUAUUCGCGGCAGUCUCUCUAGAGUGCCCAACUGAAUGCUGGUAACUAGAGACGGGGGUUGCGCUCGUUGCGGGACUUAACCCAACAUCUCACGGCACGAGCUGGCGACAGCCAUGCAGCACCUGUGCACGGACUCCGAAGAGGGGCUCCCCUUUCUGAGAGCUUUCCCGUGCAUGUCAAGCCCAGGUAAGGUUCUUCGCGUUGCGUCGAAUUAAACCACAUGCUCCACCGCUUGUGCGGGCCCCCGUCAAUUCCUUUGAGUUUUAAUCUUGCGACCGUACUCCCCAGGCGGGAUGCUUAAUGCGUUAGCUGCGCCACUGACAGGCAAGCCUGCCAACGGCUAGCAUCCAUCGUUUACGGCGUGGACUAC
RNAcentral lists this unclassified non-coding RNA (376 nucleotides) under uncultured bacterium. Its description in RNAcentral is "contains 16S-23S intergenic spacer region". The record is from RNAcentral.